This 668-nucleotide ribosomal RNA is filed under the name Pristimantis trachyblepharis. RNAcentral's name for it is "partial 12S ribosomal RNA". Lineage: Eukaryota; Metazoa; Chordata; Amphibia; Anura; Strabomantidae. The record is from RNAcentral.
UAUCAGGCACGCCCAAAACAUCUAGCCACGCCACACCCAGGGCCCUCAGCAGUGAUUAACAUUAAAAUAAACGCCAGUUUGAUUUAGCUAAUGAAAAUAGAGCCGGCCAAUCUGGUGCCAGCCGCCGCGGUUACACCAGAGGCUCAAACUGAUUCGGCGUAAAGCGUGAUUAAAGGGUCAAACUUAAGUUUACUGUCAUACGAUUAUUUUUAAAAGCCCUCUCUCGAAAGAUACCCCAAACCACCAACUUGAACUCACCACAACUAGAACACAAACUAGAAUUAGAUACUCUACUAUGUCUAGUUACAAACUUUAACUUACCGCCAGGGAACUACGAGCAAAGCUUAAAACCCAAAGGACUUGACGGUGCCCCACAUCCCCCUAGAGGAGCCUGUCCUACAACCGAUUCCCCCCGUUUUACCUCACCACUUUUAGUUCAGCCUGUAUACUUCCGUCGUCAGCUUACCGCAUGAGCGAAAGUAAGCUCAAUAUCACCCGCAAAUACGUCAGGUCAAAGUGCAGUUCAUAAGGUGGUAAGAGAUGGGCUACACUUUCUAUAGAAGAUACGAAAGACUAUGUGAAAUACUCAGAAGGUGGAUUUAGCAGUAAGGGAAUAGAGUGCCUCCCCUAACGGCACUGGGGCGUGUACACACCGCCCGUCACCCUCU